RNAcentral lists this ribosomal RNA (633 nucleotides) under Pichia kudriavzevii. RNAcentral's name for it is "partial large subunit ribosomal RNA". It matches the Rfam family "Eukaryotic large subunit ribosomal RNA", at positions 20 to 681 of the family's 3401-position model. Lineage: Eukaryota; Fungi; Ascomycota; Pichiomycetes; Pichiales; Pichiaceae. The record is from RNAcentral.
AAAACCAAAUUUUUGCAUAUUCCAAUAGCGGAGGAAAAGAAACCAACAGGGAUUGCCUCAGUAGCGGCGAGUGAAGCGGCAAGAGCUCAGAUUUGAAAUCGUGCUUUGCGGCACGAGUUGUAGAUUGCAGGUUGGAGUCUGUGUGGAAGGCGGUGUCCAAGUCCCUUGGAACAGGGCGCCCAGGAGGGUGAGAGCCCCGUGGGAUGCCGGCGGAAGCAGUGAGGCCCUUCUGACGAGUCGAGUUGUUUGGGAAUGCAGCUCCAAGCGGGUGGUAAAUUCCAUCUAAGGCUAAAUACUGGCGAGAGACCGAUAGCGAACAAGUACUGUGAAGGAAAGAUGAAAAGCACUUUGAAAAGAGAGUGAAACAGCACGUGAAAUUGUUGAAAGGGAAGGGUAUUGCGCCCGACAUGGGGAUUGCGCACCGCUGCCUCUCGUGGGCGGCGCUCUGGGCUUUCCCUGGGCCAGCAUCGGUUCUUGCUGCAGGAGAAGGGGUUCUGGAACGUGGCUCUUCGGAGUGUUAUAGCCAGGGCCAGAUGCUGCGUGCGGGGACCGAGGACUGCGGCCGUGUAGGUCACGGAUGCUGGCAGAACGGCGCAACACCGCCCGUCUUGAACCACCGGACCAAUCCAACCC